Molecule: non-coding RNA, 97 nt
Organism: Acanthosepion pharaonis
Lineage: Eukaryota; Metazoa; Mollusca; Cephalopoda; Sepiida; Sepiidae
Source: the annotation of a GenBank genome assembly
UUGAAACACCGGUUCCCGUACGAUCAGCGAAGUUAAGCAAUGUCAAGCCUGGUCAGUACCAUGAUGGGUGAUCACUUGAGAAUAUCGGGUGUUGUAA